Long non-coding RNA from Rhipicephalus microplus (southern cattle tick), 810 nucleotides. The record is from RefSeq and is a predicted model, not a curated record. Lineage: Eukaryota; Metazoa; Arthropoda; Arachnida; Ixodida; Ixodidae.
CUCAGCUAUAAGGGCUGAGCACAGCUUAAGUACGCAUGAUUCUGGGGCCACUAGCCCUAUGGACAACAGUGAUGCCAGGGAGUACUCAACCAGGGCAGGUUCAGCAUGCUUAGUGUGCUUAUUCAAAACACACUUUCUCUUGAAGGAUAUUUCAUUCUUCAGUAAAACUGAACACGAUUAGUUGUACGUGAAAAAAGGUCACAGCAUAUUUCUGCAGUUAGUUCAUCAAACGACGUUGGAUCUGAACGGAAAUGUGGUCAUUAAAGCUGUUGAGAUUGCUGCUUGCUGUGACUACUCUCAUUUUCAGUAAUGCAGAUAGUCUUGAAAGAAGCAGCCAUUGUUACAUACCACCCACCGUGGAAGGAUGCAGCAUUAUACGGCGAAAGUGGAGCUUCGUGAACGCAACAGGGAAGCUGCGAAUUGAACUUUGUGUGCUCCCAGCACAGCAAUGCAUUCCUAACAAAAGAGGAAUGUGACCGCGUUUGCCAGCCUGUCGCAGGUCCCAAACAACCUCCAAGAGAUUAUUGCGCCUACUGGAUUCAAAAUUUGGAUCAGUGCAGAUUCAAACGCGAAACAUUCUACCCUGACCGAUUUGGACGAAGGCAGAGGGUUCUUCUGUUCAGAUUCUGCGGCCCAUCAAGCUGGAAAUUGUUCGCUUACUACUUCCGCAGUGGCGAAUGCGCAGAAAUUGUGUUGCGAAGCUGAAUACCCAUGACAAAUGUACCGGUGACUCCUUUUCUUUUCGAAUUUCUGUAGGCUUACCGAAACCCAGCAUUUUUUCUUGCUAAAAUAAAAAAAUACGAACAGUCA